RNAcentral lists this ribosomal RNA (198 nucleotides) under uncultured bacterium. RNAcentral describes it as "partial 16S ribosomal RNA". It matches the Rfam family "Bacterial small subunit ribosomal RNA", at positions 328 to 539 of the family's 1533-position model. The record is from RNAcentral.
ACGCUCGACACCUACGGGAGGCGGCAGUGGGGAAUAUUGCACAAUGGGGGAAACCCUGAUGCAGCGACGCCGCGUGAGCGAAGAAGUAUUUCGGUAUGUAAAGCUCUAUCAGCAGGGAAGAAACUGACGGUACCUGACUAAGAAGCACCGGCUAAAUACGUGCCAGUAGCCGCGGUAAUCUGAGCGGGCUGGCAAGGC